Molecule: unclassified non-coding RNA, 248 nt
Filed under: uncultured fungus
Lineage: Eukaryota; Fungi
Description: sequence contains 5.8S rRNA gene
Rfam family: 5.8S ribosomal RNA (bases 1-53)
Source: RNAcentral
GAACGCACAUUGCGCCCCUUGGUAUUCCAUGGGGCAUGCCUGUUCGAGCGUCAUUUGUACCCUCAAGCCUUGCUUGGUGUUGGGUGUUUGUCUUCGCCUUGCGUGGACUCGCCUUAAAUAUAUUGGCAGCCGGUAUACUGGUUUGAAGCGCAGCACAUUUGCAAUUCAGGCUAGCUAUUAUCAGCACCCAUAAAGACUUUUUAACACUUUUGACCUCGGAUCAGGUAGGGAUACCCGCUGAACUUAAG